This is a non-coding RNA of Microcebus murinus (gray mouse lemur), 1412 nucleotides long. Lineage: Eukaryota; Metazoa; Chordata; Mammalia; Primates; Cheirogaleidae. The record is from RefSeq and is a predicted model, not a curated record.
CUUAUUGGCUAUGCUUGUGUCACAUGCCCACUCCUUGGACCAAUCACUGUCCUCAGGACCACGGGUUUCUAUGAUUUGUUGGAUCUAGCUAACAUGGCUGGAGGGCUGGAGACUGUGAUUGAAGACACUGCAGACUCACACACAAUCAACGCAGAAGACUUCCGUGAGCAAAUUUGGGUGCAGGGGUUCUCCCCACCACCAAGCAAGCAAACAAUUCUGCAGCAGACACCAAUUGGGUGUCCUCCAAUUCAAUUCUGAUGCUAUCUACUUGGAGAAUAGUUUCAGAUCCCACAGGUUGAAGGCUCAGUCCCCAAAACUGCUCCCUUGCUUGAUAUACCAGUUGCAAGUCUGAGCUUCUGAAACUUCUGACUGACCAGCUUCAAAUUGGGGUUCCCAUAAUCCCCUCUUUGGGUUCAGUUAAUUUGCCAGAGUGGCUGGCUUAUGAGAUUCAGGGAAGCACAUCUACUGGUUUAUUAUACAGUUUAUUAUACAGGAUACAGAUGAAGAGAUGUACAGGAUGAAGUAUGGAGAGAGGGGCAUGGAGCACCUAUGCCCUCCCUGGUGCCCCACUCUCCAGGAUCCUCCAUGUGCUCAGCUAUCAGGAAGCUCCCCAAACCCUGUCCUUUUAGGCCUUUUAUGGAGACUUCAUUGGAUAGACGUGACUGAAGCACGGACAACUGUAUUGAAAUGUGAUUGGACAAAAUGGCCUGCUGAGAAACACAGUUCAAUAACACUGAACUAGAGCAAUCACACGUAUGGAUCCGUUUAAUUCAGAUGGCUCACAAAGGGCAUGCAGUGAGAGAUUACCAUCCUGCUCCAGUCAGUCAGCACUGGGUUCCUCUUCCUGGACGCAAUAAGACUGUGCUUCCCUGGUCUCCUUCUGCUGAUUUCUUAUAUGUGCAUAAACAGAUGCAUAUAGAUAUUCUUAGUCUUGUAACUCUUUUUCAUGAACAACUUGAUAUGAUUUGCAUUUAUGAUCAUAUUCGCUUUCCCAAAUAUCCUUUGCAAUCCCAAAGACCAAAACCACUAUUAUAUUUGGGUACUUUGAAAGGCAGUGACUGUGCAGUAGGCUGACCAAACAGCUAUGUUUGCCUGAGACUGAAAGGUUUCCUGGAACCUGCUAAAACUGUGACAUCCCCAGACAAACUUUGAGGUCACAAGAAUUAGGCCUUAAGGACCACUGACCAGGGUCCCACGAAAACCACUACUACUUUGAGCUGGGCCGGUUGGUUCCUGGUUUUGGUGAUCAGGUGAAUUCCAGGUCAUUUAAAGAGACUACUUAACACUGUUCUUUUGUUCCUGGCCCUGAACUUGAUCUGGAAAUCAAUACCAAAGUUGCCAUUUCAAAGAGCUAAAAAGCAAUACCUUUCUGUUUUUAAAGCAUAGUUAGAAUAUGGGCACUGUCGUUCUCU